RNAcentral lists this ribosomal RNA (292 nucleotides) under uncultured bacterium. Its description in RNAcentral is "partial 16S ribosomal RNA". It matches the Rfam family "Bacterial small subunit ribosomal RNA", at positions 505 to 796 of the family's 1533-position model. The record is from RNAcentral.
GUGCCAGCCGCCGCGGUAAUACAGAGGGUGCGAGCGUUGUCCGGAAUCACUGGGCGUAAAGGGCGCGUAGGUGGCUGGGUAAGCGUGCGGUGAAAGCCUGGAGCUCAACUCCAGGUCGGCCGUGCGUACUGCCCGGCUUGAGCACGGUAGAGGCCGAUGGAAUUCCGGGUGUAGCGGUGGAAUGCGUAGAGAUCCGGAAGAACACCGGUGGCGAAGGCGGUCGGCUGGGCCGUUGCUGACACUGAUGCGCGACAGCGUGGGGAGCAAACAGGAUUAGAAACCCCCGUAGUCC